Molecule: ribosomal RNA, 721 nt
Filed under: uncultured Alphaproteobacteria bacterium
Lineage: Bacteria; Pseudomonadati; Pseudomonadota; Alphaproteobacteria
Description: bacterial SSU rRNA
Rfam family: Bacterial small subunit ribosomal RNA
Source: RNAcentral
AUGCAAGUCGAACGCAGUAGCAAUACUGAGUGGCAGACGGGUGAGUAACAUGUGGGAAUCUGCCUUGUGGUUCAGGACAACAUUGGGAAACCGAUGCUAAUACUGGAUAAGCCCUUACGGGGAAAGUUUUAAUGCCAUAAGAUGAGCCCGCAUUUGAUUAGUUAGUUGGUGAGGUAAUGGCUCACCAAGACAAUGAUCAAUAGCUGAUCUGAGAGGAUGAUCAGCCACACUGGGACUGAGACACGGCCCAGACUCCUACGGGAGGCAGCAGUGGGGAAUCUUGCACAAUGGAGGAAACUCUGAUGCAGCGAUGCCGCGUGAGUGAAGAAGGCCUUUGGGUUGUAAAGCUCUUUUGUAGGGGAAGAUAAUGACUGUACCCUAAGAAUAAGGUCCGGCUAACUUCGUGCCAGCAGCCGCGGUAAUACGAAGGGACCUAGCGUAGUUCGGAAUUACUGGGCGUAAAGCGCGCGUAGGCCGUUGAGUUAGUUAAUUGUGAAAUCCCAAAGCUUAACUUUGGAACUGCAAUUAAAACUGCUCGACUAGAGUUUGAUAGAGGAAAGCGGAAUACAUAGUGUAGAGGUGAAAUUCGUAGAUAUUAUGUAGAACACCAGUUGCGAAGGCGGCUUUCUGGAUCAACACUAACGCUGAGGCGCGAAAGUAUGGGUAGCAAAGAGGAUUAGAUACCCUCGUAGUCCAUACCAUAAACGAUGAUUGCUAGAUG